Molecule: small nuclear RNA, 109 nt
Organism: Phyllostomus hastatus (greater spear-nosed bat)
Lineage: Eukaryota; Metazoa; Chordata; Mammalia; Chiroptera; Phyllostomidae
Source: RefSeq, a predicted model, not a curated record
GUACUUGCUUCAGCAGCACAUACACUAAAACUGGAAUGAUGCGGAGAAGAUUAGCACGGCCCCCCGGCGCAAGGAUGACAUGCAAAUUUGCGAAGCAUUCCAUGUUUUA